UUCCAUGGUGAGGGCAAUCGGAAAUGUAUCCUUGAAAACGCUCCCAUGCUUCUGAAAUUGCUUCCGUCUUCUGUUGUUGGAAACUGACAAUAUUUCCUCUUAAGGCA
Small nucleolar RNA from Sorghum bicolor (sorghum), 107 nucleotides. It matches the Rfam family "Plant small nucleolar RNA R71". Rfam says of the family: R71 is a member of the C/D box family of snoRNAs containing the C (UGAUGA) and D (CUGA) box motifs. Multiple nearly identical copies of this snoRNA have been identified in Arabidopsis, and it is thought to function as a 2'-O-ribose methylation guide for 18S ribosomal RNA. The record is from Rfam. Lineage: Eukaryota; Viridiplantae; Streptophyta; Magnoliopsida; Poales; Poaceae.